AAAAAAAAAAAAGUGCCAAAUUUUAUAAAUCUUGAAUCUUAAGCUCUUAAUUACUCUUGUACAAGUUAAUAUCUGUAAACUAAUAUUAAAAGCUAAUAUUUGUAAUUAUUAGUGUUUGAGCUUAAUUUGCCACCAAGAUUGGGAUCAUUUGGCUUGUGUAGAUGUUGGAUUGCUAAAUGUUUGAUUGGCAUAUUAAUGACUUUUCUUAGACAUAAUAAAUUAAUCAAUAAAAUGUCCAAGUUGGCGCACUUGUUACAUUUUUUUAUUUUUUAUUUUUUAUUUUUAAACAUCUAGUGUUCAAAGCCUACUGGUCUAAUCAAUCUGGAUUUGUGUUGGGUAAAUCCAUAAAAAGGGACAAAGUGCUCCAACAUAAGAAUUUAAAGGGACUCUAUAUUUAGGAUUCGAACUCAAAACUUCUGGUUAAGAGAAAAAGAUUCUUGUUAUCACAUUUCGCCCUUCAUAUAAUAUAUAUAUAUUUUUAAAACUAAAUGCAUGGAAAUUGAAAACAACUUCUGAACCAGAAAGUGAAAAUGGCUGGACAAUUAUUUCACUAAUGAAGCCUGAAAUUUGAUUGGCUAAUACAGGAUAAACCCAUCAUCAGUUCACACCUUAUCCAUCAUUAACUUACUCCAUGUUUAAGCACUUCCGAUUAUUCAUUAAAAAAUUCCAGCAUUGUUUAUUGUUAGUCUAAUUAAUUUCUGAAUAAAAAAUUUCAUUAUUUAAUCAUCUUAAUCCAAUAAUAAAGAUCGUCAUCUUUUG
This 759-nucleotide long non-coding RNA is filed under the name Jatropha curcas. RNAcentral's name for it is "long non-coding RNA (JCUR_LNC003012)". The record is from RNAcentral. Lineage: Eukaryota; Viridiplantae; Streptophyta; Magnoliopsida; Malpighiales; Euphorbiaceae.